Molecule: ribosomal RNA, 394 nt
Filed under: uncultured bacterium
Lineage: Bacteria
Description: partial 16S ribosomal RNA
Rfam family: Bacterial small subunit ribosomal RNA
Source: RNAcentral
AUACGGAGGAUGCAAGCGUUAUCCGGAUUUAUUGGGUUUAAAGGGUGCGUAGGCGGAUGAUUAAGCGUGAGGUGAAAUGCCACUGCUCAACAGUGGAACUGCCUCGCGAACUGGUUGUCUUGAAUGCUCCUGCCGUGGGAGGAAUGUGUGGUGUAGCGGUGAAAUGCAUAGAGAUCACACAGAACACCGAUUGCGAAGGCAUCUCACGAAGGGGUGAUUGACGCUGAGGCACGAAAGCGUGGGGAUCAAACAGGAUUAGAUACCCUGGUAGUCCACGCAGUAAACGAUGAUAACUAACCGCUGGGUCGUAGUGAUUCAGUGGCCAAGCGAAAGCGAUAAGUUAUCCACCUGGGGAGUACGACCGCAAGGUUGAAACUCAAAGGAAUUGGCGGGG